RNAcentral lists this ribosomal RNA (480 nucleotides) under uncultured bacterium. RNAcentral describes it as "bacterial SSU rRNA". It matches the Rfam family "Bacterial small subunit ribosomal RNA", at positions 29 to 506 of the family's 1533-position model. The record is from RNAcentral.
ACGAACGCUGGCGGCGUGCUUAAGACAUGCAAGUCGAACGCGAAAGUCUUCGGACGAGUAGAGUGGCGCACGGGUGAGUAAUACAUGGGAACGUACCUUUAAGUGGGGGAUAACUACGGGAAACUGUAGCUAAUACCGCAUUAACUCGAAAGAGUAAAGAUGGCCUCUAUUUAUAAGCUAUCGCUUAAAGAUCGGCCCAUGUCCCAUUAGCUAGUUGGCGGGGUAAAGGCCCACCAAGGCUACGAUGGGUAGCUGGUCUGAGAGGACGAUCAGCCACACUGGAACUGAGACACGGUCCAGACUCCUACGGGAGGCAGCAGUCGGGAAUUUUGCACAAUGGGGGAAACCCUGAUGCAGCAACGCCGCGUGAGUGAAGAAGGCCUUUGGGUUGUAAAGCUCUUUCGAUUGGGAAGAAGGGCCUCAUGGCUAAUAUCUAUGAGGUUUGACGGUACCAGAAGAAGAAGCACCUGCUAACUACGU